CCCCUUACAUCCCUAGAGUACACCCCUGGAGUACGCCCCUUACACCCCUGGAGUACACCCCUGGAGUACACCCCUUACACCCCUGGAGUGCACCCCUGGAGUACACCCCUUACACCCCUGGAGUGCACCCCUUACACCUCAUUGGUGAUCGUAACAUCAUUUAAAAAAAAAAAAACAUACAAAGUGUUACAUCUGGGUUGCAUGCUGUUUGCUUUUCUUUUUUUCUUCAUGUCAUCAAAAAACAUUUUUUUCUGUUAACAUUGGGAGGGGAGGGGGGGGGGGGUGUUGUCAUGACAAGGUUGUAAAGAAAGUUUUCAAUGAAUGACUGAAAAUAGUCAAAAAAAGGACAUUUCAUACUUUUUUCUUUUUUUUUUUUACUAGAACUUGAUAUUUUACAUGUGCAUAUUUCUCACACAUUAGCUUUUUCAAGCAGCACUUAAAAAGAUAAAUAUAAUGAUAAUGAUGACAAUUAUUAUGAUUAUGUCAAUGAGUGUUCUACAGAAAUGAUUUCAGAACAUUGGGUAAGCUGAAAUAAAUACUAAGAUCAAGUUCGCUUACAAAAUCCCAUACUGGCAGAUGUUUUUCAAAGUGAUAUGACAACGCCCUGUACAGUCCAUGGUGUAGAAACUCUGUCAUUUUUUCUUUUCAAUUCUUUUUUUUUUCCAUGUGCGAUAACACCUCUCGGUUCAUACAGGGGAAAAUGGCACGUCUUCCAUUUGUUGGUAGCCUUUUGCUACAAGUAUGUGAGUAAGGGCAACAAACAGCAACCUGAACACAGAGGCGACCACACAAACCUCCCACAACAUCUUCUCUCCUAAUUUUUUUGUUGUUGUUGUUGUUGUGUUUUUUUUACUGUUGUUGUUCCCGCUUGUUUAAUUGUGUUUCGUAACCUUUCACUUGAAAAAGAUGGCUACGUUUGGAAGACCUUGUAACGAGUAAACAACGGUAACAGAGAGGACAGAUAGACUUCACUGUGUGACAUGCAACACUCGGCAUGCCAGAGUAUCCUUUGCUUCACCUCUGCUGUCUGGCCUCGGAUAAUACAAUGUC
Long non-coding RNA from Clupea harengus (Atlantic herring), 1050 nucleotides. NCBI's taxonomy places the organism in Eukaryota, Metazoa, Chordata, Actinopteri, Clupeiformes, Clupeidae. The record is from Ensembl.